CAAGCCUGAUGCAGCGACGCCGCGUGCGGGAUGACGGCCUUCGGGUUGUAAACCGCUUUUGACUGGGAGCAAGCCCUUCGGGGUGAGUGUACCUUUCGAAUAAGCACCGGCUAACUACGUGCCAGCAGCCGGGGUAAUACGUAGGGUGCAAGCGUUAUCCGGAAUUAUUGGGCGUAAAGGGCUCGUAGGCGGUUCGUCGCGUCCGGUGUGAAAGUCCAUCGCUUAACGGUGGAUCCGCGCCGGGUACGGGCGGGCUUGAGUGCGGUAGGGGAGACUGGAAUUCCCGGUGUAACGGUGGAAUGUGUAGAUAUCGGGAAGAACACCAAUGGCGAAGGCAGGUCUCUGGGCCGUCACUGACGCUGAGGAGCGAAAGCGUGGGGAGCGAACAGGAUUAGAUACCCUGGUAGUCCACGCCGUAAACGGUGGAUGCUGGAUGUGGGGACCAUUCCACGGUCUCCGUGUCGGAGCCAACGCGUUAAGCAUCCCGCCUGGGGAGUACGGCCGCAAGGCUAAAACUCAAAGAAAUUGACGGGGGCCCGCACAAGCGGCGGAGCAUGCGGAUUAAUUCGAUGCAACGCGAAGAACCUUACCUGGGCUUGACAUGUUCCCGACAGCCCCAGAGAUGGGGCCUCCCUUCGGGGCGGGUUCACAGGUGGUGCAUGGUCGUCGUCAGCUCGUGUCGUGAGAUGUUGGGUUAAGUCCCGCAACGAGCGCAACCCUCGCCCUGUGUUGCCAGCACGUCGUGGUGGGAACUCACGGGGGACCGCCGGGGUCAACUCGGAGGAAGGUGGGGAUGACGUCAGAUCAUCAUGCCCCUUACGUCCAGGGCUUCACGCAUGCUACAAUGGCCGGUACAACGGGAUGCGACACCGCGAGGUGGAGCGGAUCCCUUAAAACCGGUCUCAGUUCGGAUUGGAGUCUGCAACCCGACUCCAUGAAGGCGGAGUCGCUAGUAAUCGCGGAUCAGCAACGCCGCGGUGAAUGCGUUCCCGGGCCUUGUACACACCGCCCGUC
RNAcentral lists this ribosomal RNA (1014 nucleotides) under human gut metagenome. RNAcentral's name for it is "bacterial SSU rRNA". It matches the Rfam family "Bacterial small subunit ribosomal RNA", at positions 378 to 1398 of the family's 1533-position model. The record is from RNAcentral.